This 71-nucleotide transfer RNA is filed under the name Loxodonta africana (African savanna elephant). It matches the Rfam family "tRNA". Rfam says of the family: Transfer RNA (tRNA) molecules are approximately 80 nucleotides in length. The record is from Rfam by way of RNAcentral. Lineage: Eukaryota; Metazoa; Chordata; Mammalia; Proboscidea; Elephantidae.
CCAGCGGUGGUUUAGUGGCAGAACUCUCACCUUCUAAGUGGGAGGCCUGGGUUCAAUUCCCGGCCAAUGUG